This 106-nucleotide ribosomal RNA is filed under the name uncultured bacterium. Its description in RNAcentral is "partial 16S ribosomal RNA". The record is from RNAcentral.
AUGACGGCCCUAUGGGUUGGUAAACUAGCUUUUGUUACGGGAAGAAACCCCACUACGUGUAGUGGGUUGACGGUACUGUAAGAAUAAGGAUCGGCUAACUUCGUGC